GACGGAGGGUGCUAGCGUUGCUCGGAAUGACUGGGCGUAAAGGGCGCGUAGGCGGCCGCUUGCGUCGGAUGUGAAAGCCCGGGGCUCAACCCCGGAACGGCAUCCGAUACGGGGCGGCUCGAGACCGAGAGAGGUGAGUGGAAUACCCAGUGUAGAGGUGAAAUUCGUAGAUAUUGGGUGGAACACCGGUGGCGAAAGCGGCUCACUGGCUCGGUUCUGACGCUGAGGCGCGAAAGCGUGGGGAGCAAACAGG
This 253-nucleotide ribosomal RNA is filed under the name uncultured bacterium. RNAcentral's name for it is "partial 16S ribosomal RNA". It matches the Rfam family "Bacterial small subunit ribosomal RNA", at positions 524 to 776 of the family's 1533-position model. The record is from RNAcentral.